UGAGAAGACUUAGAAAGUGCAUUUGAGAGCGGAUGAUUUUAUUUUUUUUUUUUUACUUCCUGAAUCCAUUUAUAUGGAUAUUCAUUUAAUUUAUAUAUACUGUAGAAGUGAUUAGGUCGGACGCAAAGUUCUGAGUUUAUUUUUUUGAAUAUCGAGCUUUCCAGCGAGUUUGCGCAUUCUUUCUCUCAGCUUUCUUUCACAUUCCAAAAACAUCCGUAUGAAGGCUUUUUUGUUUUCCAUAGCUGUGAAUUUGAAUGGGUGUGUGUCUAUAUGUGCCAUGCAGUUGGCUGACGAUCUUUCACAGGGGAAAUGGGAAGUGGUACGCUUCCAAGAACCAGACAGCAGUGGAUCGUCAAAUAAACAACCAUUUUUUUCUCAUUUUGCCGUUUUGAUGGACACAUUCCUCUCACCCCUGACAGAUAAAUGGUGGAUGAUGUGGGUGGCGGGCCAGCGGCACUGGGAGAACCAAUCCAAUCAGCUGUAAUGGAGCCAAAGGUCACUGUUCACUCCUCCUACACUGAUAUGGCCGACGGCCCGAGGAUGACACAUCUAGUAGCCAUGAAACGUUCGAGCCAGCAAACACCAGCAUUCAAAUAUAAAGAAUUUGGCUGGUGUUUGACCAAUUUGAGAAAGCGAGACAGAAGGGAAAGACGACAAUGGAUCCCUGCAGCAAACUGGAGAUUUCGGAUCAUCAUACAGCGGUAUCCUGUCAGCUGGCGUUAUUGUGUGUUUAUUGUCCAUCAUCAACGGUCCAAUGACAAUGAAUAUGAAUGGAAGGAUUGAAAUUAUGACUGAAGCGCUCACACGGGUUAUUCACCAAAUGGAGUCAAGGGUUUGAUCUGCAAUGACGCCGCAUCAGAGUUCCGAGCUGUUCAAUUUCAACAGGUCGCCCUUGGAAAUAAAAAGAGGGCUCGCUAUUAAUGAAUCCAAAAUGAUGGGCCAGCAAUUGGUUUAAUCAGUCUAAGUAUGCCCAAAGCACAUCUCGCUAUUAACCCUCAUGCCUGAGGAACCCGAGACAAUUUAUUAAUGCUGAUUCCUGGCAAA
Long non-coding RNA from Syngnathoides biaculeatus (alligator pipefish), 1044 nucleotides. RefSeq lists it as uncharacterized. The transcript has 3 exons. Lineage: Eukaryota; Metazoa; Chordata; Actinopteri; Syngnathiformes; Syngnathidae. The record is from RefSeq and is a predicted model, not a curated record.